Molecule: long non-coding RNA, 620 nt
Organism: Saccostrea echinata
Lineage: Eukaryota; Metazoa; Mollusca; Bivalvia; Ostreida; Ostreidae
Exons: 2
Source: RefSeq, a predicted model, not a curated record
UGUGUUCAACGUGUGAGCAAGGAAACGUGAUGGACAAUGAACAUGAUGAAGUUUAUGACAAACCCAGACGAAAAUUUAUCAUGUUUCGUGUGAAUAUUUCAGCAAAAAUAUUAUGCUUUAAGUUGUAAAAGCCGUUUCCAAGGAACCAUCAGAUCAUCAGUACACUACCAUGACUCAGAGGGCCAAUGAUAGUAAACACUGCAGUAAGUCCACCAGGGAUUGAUGGCAAAAAAAGAGAAUAUUUUGAAGAAUGAUUUGGAUAUGCUGGCCUCCUCUUUUGACCUAAAUCCAGCUGAUGAAAUUCUAUCUGAAAAAAUAGUGAGAAGCCAAGAACUAAUAAUCAACUUCUGUAAAUCAGACAGUGGUGUUAAAACCUGUGUGAUGAAGUGUGCCAAAUUCAUUGAUCACAUACUUGUACAUUUUUAAGUUAUCUCCCAUGUAGAUCUAAAAAGUAAUGUACAGAGUUUAAAGUGGACUUCAAGUGCUUUAUGUAUUGUACAUGAUUACAUUGAGAUGUAUGAAAAUUGAAAUGCAUGCCUGCUCUUUUGUACAGUCUUAAAACUGUUCAUAUGAUUGUCCACAUAAUUGAUUUUGUCAAAUAAAUGAACACAUAUAUUUUA